CUGGUUGAUCCUGCCAGUAGUUAUAUGCUUGUCUCAAAGAUUAAGCCAUGCAUGUCUAAGUACACACGAAUUAAAAGUGAAACCGCAAAAGGCUCAUUAUAUCAGUUAUGGUUCCUUAGAUCGUUAACAGUUACUUGGAUAACUGUGGUAAUUCUAGAGCUAAUACAUGCAAUUAAAACAUGAACCUUAUGGGACAUGUGCUUUUAUUAGGCUAAAACCAAGCGAUCGCAAGAUCGUUAUAUUGGUUGAACUCUAGAUAACAUGCAGAUCGUAUGGUCUUGUACCGACGACAGAUCUUUCAAAUGUCUGCCCUAUCAACUUUUGAUGGUAGUAUCUAGGACUACCAUGGUUGCAACGGGUAACGGGGAAUCAGGGUUCGAUUCCGGAGAGGGAGCCUGAGACACGGCUACCACAUCUAAGGAAGGCAGCAGGUGCGUAAAUUACCCACUCCCAGCUCGGGGAGGUAGUGACGAAAAAUAACAAUACAGGACUCAUAUCCGAGGCCCUGUAAUUGGAAUGAGUACACUUUAAAUCCUUUAACAAGGACCAAUUGGAGGGCAAGUCUGGUGCUAGCAGCCGCGGUAAUUCCAGCUUCAAUAGCGUAUAUA
This 608-nucleotide non-coding RNA is filed under the name Drosophila sechellia. Its description in RNAcentral is "Eukaryotic small subunit ribosomal RNA". It matches the Rfam family "Eukaryotic small subunit ribosomal RNA", at positions 4 to 605 of the family's 1831-position model. The record is from Rfam by way of RNAcentral. Lineage: Eukaryota; Metazoa; Arthropoda; Insecta; Diptera; Drosophilidae.